This 325-nucleotide ribosomal RNA is filed under the name Pseudomonas putida S11. RNAcentral's name for it is "bacterial SSU rRNA". It matches the Rfam family "Bacterial small subunit ribosomal RNA", at positions 1 to 326 of the family's 1533-position model. The record is from RNAcentral. Lineage: Bacteria; Pseudomonadati; Pseudomonadota; Gammaproteobacteria; Pseudomonadales; Pseudomonadaceae.
UUGAACUGAAGAGUUUGAUCAUGGCUCAGAUUGAACGCUGGCGGCAGGCCUAACACAUGCAAGUCGAGCGGAUGACGGGAGCUUGCUCCUUGAUUCAGCGGCGGACGGGUGAGUAAUGCCUAGGAAUCUGCCUGGUAGUGGGGGACAACGUUUCGAAAGGAACGCUAAUACCGCAUACGUCCUACGGGAGAAAGCAGGGGACCUUCGGGCCUUGCGCUAUCAGAUGAGCCUAGGUCGGAUUAGCUAGUUGGUGAGGUAAUGGCUCACCAAGGCGACGAUCCGUAACUGGUCUGAGAGGAUGAUCAGUCACACUGGAACUGAGACA